ACACUUCUUAUAUCUCAACUUGGUAUGAAAGCCAAUACAUUUAUUUUUAAGCCCUAUUCUACAUGAAUCCUAAUCAAUACAUCACAUGUGCUCUCAACUGUGCUACUGAUAGAUUUGUUAUACCAAUCCUUCCCUCUAUUCUUCCCAUGGGUCCUUCAUCUUCUCUGAUUAUCCCACAGUUGCAAGCCUUCGCACCAACGUUUUAUUCCUUUUUUAUUAUGACAUUUGGUUCUUCACCUCUACUAUUGUUCAACAACUAUCAUCCUUUGCAUCAACGUUUUAUUCAUCUUCUCUGUUUACUGGCAAGCUCCCGAUUGCUCCUCUUGUUGCUGGUUUAAAUCCUUCUGCUCUUAUUUUUCACAUCAAUUGUGUGGUUACCUUAGCCCACACAUAACAGGUUAUUUCUUUAAAACUAUCUCAUAACAACUAUUUGUAUUUGAGGAUGCAAAUGAAACCUUAUCUCCUAGGCCAGGGUGUUUACUCCUUUGUUGAUGGUUCUCUAUCUUGCCCUCCUUCUCAUAUUAUAUCAUCAUAUCUUCGGUUGUUCAUGUCCCAAAUCCAGCAUUUAUGUCAUGGAAACAACAAGAUCAUUUGAUUAUAAGUAUUGUUCUGUCCUCUUUGUCUACUGAACUCUUACACUUAGUUGUUGACUGCCACACCUCGUCUUCUAUCUCUUGAGCAAGCUCUUGAAUCUCCAUCAAAUUCUUGUAUUAUACAUCUCCAUGGAUCUUUGCAAGACAUAAAACAGGGUGAUUACAUGGCCAUUGUCUAUUUACAAAAGGCCAGAUCUCUAUUUGAUGAACUUGCGGUUGCUAGAUGACUAAUUACGUUAAAGGACUUCAAUCUCUAUGUCUUCAAGGGUCUGCGUGGAAAAUUCAUAGACUUGGUUACUAGGUUCUCCACAAAAGCUGAGCAUUUUACUUCCAUUGAGUUCCAAGUCUUUCAUUUAUGUCGUUGUUUCAAUUCCAGUCCUUAUCUUUUCAAUUUAUGUAAUCUCAGUCAACUUAACCUUAAAAUCAAUUUUUCUUCAAUUUCACUCCUG
This 1042-nucleotide long non-coding RNA is filed under the name Populus trichocarpa (black cottonwood). RNAcentral describes it as "long non-coding RNA (PTRI_LNC001805)". Lineage: Eukaryota; Viridiplantae; Streptophyta; Magnoliopsida; Malpighiales; Salicaceae. The record is from RNAcentral.